AUGGUUGUUUUGUAGAGAUAGUUUUAAUAUGUACUAGUUAUUAUACUAACAUGAAAUAAUGGGAUAACCACGGCUAAAUCGAAUGCAGCGGGCGCGAGAAUAAGGGUGUUCAUAAAUGAAAUGGAGCUUGAAGUGACCCCAGGACCGUUCAAUGUGAGAGAUGCAUUCGGGGAAGAAGUUGUGCUCAUUAAUUCUGCGGGUCAGCCCAUUGUCACCGAUGAAUAUGGCGUCGCUCUUCAACCUCUUCAACACGGAGCGUCAUACUAUCUGAUCUAGUCGUGUGGGAGAUUUGAGUUUGAAGAAGAAAUUAAGAGCUCUCUUUCUUUCACCAUCUCUCGUACGUAGGCUUAAAUGUUUAGAUUUUAUAUAAGAUAUGGGUUUCAGUUACCUAUUGGGAUGGUUUGAUGUAUGAGUUUCGGACAACAUUCACAAAACUCUCUCGUUAGAUUGUUGACCAAUAUAAUUAUAUGCUGUGUGUUUCAUU
This is a non-coding RNA of Camelina sativa (false flax), 484 nucleotides long. NCBI's taxonomy places the organism in Eukaryota, Viridiplantae, Streptophyta, Magnoliopsida, Brassicales, Brassicaceae. The record is from RefSeq and is a predicted model, not a curated record.